UAUCUAUUUAUUAUUUUUUGACGUCUAUAGUUUUAGUAAUCGCACCAAAAACUUUACUUUACCAAUUUAAAAUGCAGAAAUCUUAAAAACAUAACCUAAGUUUCUGGCAUUCAAUUAUUCGGAUCAGCUAGUACUUUGAGAUUGUGGAAGGUUAUACAUCCAAAAGACAGUAGGAAGCAUCGACUACUCCACAAAAAAUUGUCGUUCAAAAAAUAUAUUUAUACUGUUUUGAAAGAAUUUGUGGAAGAAUAUGAGAACGUAUGUUUGAAAUUCUCACAAUUCAACACAUUCAAUCGAUUAUGGGAGGUAUAACAUUCGAAAAAUCUAUGGAAACAAUUAUUAUGAGUCCUAUAACUAUAGAUCCCACUAACCGUCCAAGCUUAAGGGAUGCUCUUAGCUGGUUUUCACAGAAUAUUCAAAUGUUCUUGAUUCGAUGAAAUCAAAUCUAAUUUGUAACCCAACCUAGCCUACAGCAAUAAAUGAAACCAAAACUGAAGAAAAAAUAUCAUUAGGUAUAUAAUGGUAUUGACGGUUUUUGCAAUAUUUUCAAUUUGUAAUGAAACAAAUCUUACCAGUUCCAGAAUGAAGUCAAUCAGGUUUGUGGCAAGCAGGCAAAAUAUUCAUUUCUACUGAAAGAAUUUAUAGUUUCUCUUGAAUUUGUUUCCAUAUGCCUUUAUUAUCUAAUCAGACCCAAAUAGAUGUACCAGCCCUGCCGACUGACAACAAAUAUUGAAAGAGUUUAUUCACCCAUAAAACAAUUGUUUUCGCUAUUGAAUUUGGCUAUUUGGUUCAUGAACCCUUCCGCGCGGUUAGCAGUGUAAUUAGUAACUAGAUUAUCGGCUUUUCAACUGAGGUUUCCGAUCAUUUUCAUUAUUCUCAAAGGAGAAUAUAUUGGCGCUUCAUAGUAGUCACUUCUAGAACUGACCUGGAUUUGAUUUCUUGGGGAGAACCUAUUCAACAGAAAAUGUGAAUCUAAGCUAAAAUAAAUUGAAAAAUCCUAGUUGGCUCGUUUAUAAUCUGAAAAAGUCAACUCACGACUUUGAUCAUCAUUGAUGUUUGGAAAUUUCAAAUGUUGUUAUUUGGGUGCAAAAAAAAUUGAUGGUGUUUGAAAAUAAAGAAAAUAGUGAACUGGGUGUGUCGUUUAGUCAGUUGACGCAUCUUAUGAAUCUAGUGAUUUCAUAUGAUGCCGUAAACCAUAUAUGACAAAAAAGUUUCACAGUUCUAAUGUUUUCUCUUGUGGGGAAGAUUGAUUACUUUCGAUAAAAGAAAGAAUUCUAAUUUCAUUGCCUAAUCAUAAAGUGAAAGCGUAGCCUGGAUAUAAGUGUAGAUAGAUUUUAGUUUCGGUUAGGGCCAACUAUAUGGACUAUUUUUCGGUGCACCGAAUUAAUAUUCAAGUUUUGAAGUUCUGUAUCUGUAUUUGUAGAGUAGGGAGGGUGAGUGCGUAGCCCCACACCACAUCCUCCCAAGGAGUUGUCCUCCUAGGUCAUCGUCUAUCCUGU
Molecule: long non-coding RNA, 1499 nt
Organism: Leptinotarsa decemlineata (Colorado potato beetle)
Lineage: Eukaryota; Metazoa; Arthropoda; Insecta; Coleoptera; Chrysomelidae
Source: RefSeq, a predicted model, not a curated record